AAUUAAAUGGUUAAAUUGAGGAUGAAUAGUCUGAAGCAGAUCACCACUCCCUUUUAGAAGUAUAUGAAGUCUGUUUUUCUACAACUUGAAAUCUUUGCCUGAUUAUUUGGCUGAUACCGUUGGCUCCUCCUGGUUGGGCUUUCCUUCCUUUCCAUAGAUAAUAUUUUGAUGAAACCUAGAGCAAACAUGUAAUGCAUGUAAUCGCACAGAAUAGGAUGAGAGAGUGCUUUUGCCAGCACUGCACUUCAUGGGUGCUUUUCUCUCAGUGCUACAUUUGCUCCCUUGGACAAACAGCUGACCCUGUCUGAGGUUAAGCAUGAAUCCCUGAGGAAGAGCUAUGCACUGAACCUGGAACUCCACAACAGGAGCAACACCUCUCUGUGACUUGAGUGCAGGAAGUAACAUUGAUGGAUAGCAGAGGAGGAGAAAGCAAGAUGCUCACUGAGCCCAGCUGAUGCAUAUAGGUUCAUUUAUGUCUUGUCUAUAAACAUACGAAGUACUAGAAGAGACCCCUGGGAAGCCAGUGACACUAAUGGAAAAGUUAAGUGUGAGACUGUACAGCUGGACUUAGAUGCCUUUUAUUCAGAGUUGUUAUUAGUUUAGACAAAGCAAUCUAGAGCUGUCAGGUCUACAACCUAUGCACUCACCUCUGUAAUUUUCAUGGAACCCAUCACCUUAAUAACAGGAAUUAAAAUCUGGGUGUUUGUCUUAGAGGUGAGUCUCAAUGUACUCGGUUAACUUGUGAUUUGAAUGGAAACAAUUCGCUGUUGUCCUCUAAUAAGUUCCCUUUGUUAAUAAGUUCCACUUCGUUAACAUCUGAUCUUCUUGAAGCGGUACAAGUUGAAAUAU
Molecule: long non-coding RNA, 849 nt
Organism: Oxyura jamaicensis (ruddy duck)
Lineage: Eukaryota; Metazoa; Chordata; Aves; Anseriformes; Anatidae
Exons: 4
Source: RefSeq, a predicted model, not a curated record